This is a non-coding RNA of Ceratotherium simum simum (southern white rhinoceros), 114 nucleotides long. Lineage: Eukaryota; Metazoa; Chordata; Mammalia; Perissodactyla; Rhinocerotidae. The record is from RefSeq and is a predicted model, not a curated record.
CUCUGGGAAGAAGCCAAAGAAAGAAGUUAAAAAGAAAAGAUGGAACCAUCCCAAAAUGUCUCUUGCCCAGAAGAAAGAUCAAGUAGCUCAGCAAAGGGCAAACUUCCUCAGAAC